RNAcentral lists this ribosomal RNA (853 nucleotides) under uncultured Pelagophyceae. RNAcentral describes it as "partial Bacterial large subunit ribosomal RNA". It matches the Rfam family "Bacterial large subunit ribosomal RNA", at positions 3 to 910 of the family's 2925-position model. Lineage: Eukaryota; Pelagophyceae. The record is from RNAcentral.
UCAAGCAACUAAGCGCAUACGGUGGAUGCCUUGGCAGUCAGAGGCGAUGAAAGACGUGGAAGCCUGCGAUAAGGCUCGGGGAGCUGGCAAACAAGCUGUGAUCCGGGCAUUUCUGAAUGGGGAAACCCACCGACUUUCGGGUCGGUACCUUACACUGAAUCCAUAGGUGUAAGGGGCGAACCGGGGGAACUGAAACAUCUAAGUACCCGGAGGAAAGGACAUCAACCGAGACUCCGCUAGUAGUGGCGAGCGAACGCGGACCAGGCCAGUGGCAUCGACACGGGAACCGGAACCGUCUGGAAAGGCGGGCGAGAGUGGGUGACAGCCCCGUACGGAUCAAUCCUUGUCGGUGUCCUCGAGUAGGGCGGGGCACGUGAAACCCUGUCUGAACGUGGGGGGACCACCCUCCAAGCCUAAGUACUCCUUACCGACCGAUAGUGAACUAGUACCGUGAGGGAAAGAUGAAAAGUACCCCGAUGAGGGGAGUGAAACAGUACCUGAAACCGGAUGCUUACAAGCUGAGGGAGCUCUUCGGAGUGACCUCGUACCUUUUGUAUAAUGGGUCAACGACUUAGUGUUGCAUGCAAGCUUAAGCCGAUAGGUGUAGGCGUAGCGAAAGCGAGUCUGAAUAGGGCGACUGAGUUCGUGGGAUGAGACCCGAAGCCAGGUGAUCUAGCCAUGUGCAGGUUGAAGGUGCGGUAACACGCACUGGAGGACCGAACCCACGUCUGUUGAAAAAGACGGGGAUGACGUGUGGCUAGGGGUGAAAGGCCAAUCAAACUCGGAAAUAGCUGGUUCUCCGCGAAAUCUAUUUAGGUAGAGCGUCGGAUGAAUACUCUCGGGGGUAGAGCAC